RNAcentral lists this transfer RNA (70 nucleotides) under Trigonopterus puspoi. RNAcentral describes it as "tRNA-Ile". Lineage: Eukaryota; Metazoa; Arthropoda; Insecta; Coleoptera; Curculionidae. The record is from RNAcentral.
CACAGAGUGCCUGACCAAAGGAUUAUUUUGAUGAAAUAAAUUACACAGGAACCCCCCCCUGUCUCUGUGG